GAUGAACGCUGGCGGCGUGCCUAAUACAUGCAAGUCGAGCGAACGGACGAGAAGCUUGCUUUUCUGAUGUUAGCAGCGGACGGGUGAGUAACACGUGGAUAACCUACCUAUAAGACUGGGAUAACUUCGGGAAACCGGAGCUAAUACCGGAUAAUAUUUUGAACCGCAUGGUUCAAAAGUGAAAGACGGUCUUGCUGUCACUAAUAGAUGGAUCCGCGCUGCAUUAGCUAGUUGGUAAGGUAACGGCUCACCAAGGCAACGAUGCAUAGCCGACCUGAGAGGGUGAUCGGCCACACUGGAACUGAGACACGGUCCAGACUCCUACGGGAGGCAGCAGUAGGGAAUCUUCCGCAAUGGGCGAAAGCCUGACGGAGCAACGCCGCGUGAGUGAUGAAGGUCUUCGGAUCGUAAAACUCUGUUAUUAGGGAAGAACAUAUGUGUAAGUAACUGUGCACAUCUUGACGGUACCUAAUCAGAAAGCCACGGCUAACUACGUG
This 497-nucleotide ribosomal RNA is filed under the name uncultured bacterium. RNAcentral's name for it is "partial 16S ribosomal RNA". It matches the Rfam family "Bacterial small subunit ribosomal RNA", at positions 28 to 507 of the family's 1533-position model. The record is from RNAcentral.